UGCUGGUGGUGCGUCUACUUCAGCCUUGCCUGCGUGUGGCCACGAACUUUCUCGCUGAGGACCCCAGCCCAUGGGGCGACCUGUUUUGCACCUUUUUUGUUGCUGCAGACCUACCUGAUGGUCACUGGGCUGUGCUGCUGGGCACGACCCUGCCUGAUAUAUUGCUGGGAGGGUGAAUUGCAGCAGAGCUCACGCUAACCCUAGCUGCUCUGUCUCCUAGCCUGAUGGUUUUUCUUUCCACAGUUCCACUUGUGGUGGCACCAAGUCCCUUGGAGCUAGGAUUCACCUCCUGGCAUCACUGGAGACCUGAGGUGACGGAGCCCAGCCGAAGCUGGCACUGCAGCGUGGUCUCCCCUUGUGCUGGAGGACCUGGAGGAGAGGGGAGGGAGAUGCUGACGGGCUCCUUGCCCAGGGACAAAAAUCUUCCAGGCUUCCCCGUCCUGGGGUGGAAGCGGAGUGUGAUCCCUGCCCUUGCUGUGGAAGGAGAAGAUCUGCCCCAAGGUGCCAUCCCUCCCUCCAUCCCAGCAUUCAUUUUUUGUCCACGACUCCAACAGCCCAGCUCUUCAUCAUCCUUCCGCUCCAUCACCGAGCCCUUGUUUGUCUGCCCGCUCCUCUCUGAUUUUAGGCUUUAA
Molecule: long non-coding RNA, 632 nt
Filed under: Anser brachyrhynchus (Pink-footed goose)
Lineage: Eukaryota; Metazoa; Chordata; Aves; Anseriformes; Anatidae
Description: lncRNA (ENSABRG00000018732.1)
Source: RNAcentral